ACAACUAGUCCCAAAAACAACCAGCUAGUAAUGACGGAUCUUGCCAUCCAGUUUUGAGGGAAUUUCACCAUUGGAUUUCCUAAAAAAGUGAGCCAGCCGUUCAGCAUCGGAUUUGGCAACAAUUCAAUCCAAGGAAGUUUUGAAUAUUUCAAGUUUUGCUUCCCGAAUCGAAGUUUCAUUAAAAUCAUUCCCAUACAAACUGCAAUUGAAAGUAACAUCCACGCGUUCAAGGUGAAUGGUUUGAACAACUUUUCCAAUGAUGUAAAAUUCCGUCCCGGUGGAAUGGCAAUCACAAACUUGCUGAUAAAAUGUGACAUCCCAGCCUUUAGAUAGAACGAUCGUUGAGCAGAAAUUCCAACAGAACCAAACCCCACAUCAACCAAUUCGUCCUGAAUCAGGCCCAUCAGUCCAGUGCUGUUUUGAGGCUCGAUAAAACCCCAUCGCAUAUUGUUUUCCGGAUAAAUGAACUGCACGGUGAAGUUAUGCAUUUUAGCCACUGUUUGCACUAUUCGAACUUCUGUUCCAUCGUAAAAUGUGUUGCCAUCAUGAUCAUUUUUAGGUAUUGUAAACGGUUCCAAAGGAUACGUGCCAACCUUCAACUGACACAGGUUCAUAUUAUUAAACUGAUUCGAAAACAACGAACGAUCCUGAGAUUCAGCUUUGCCAUCCUUCGAUACCAUCACCAACUCUGGGUUGACGUUUGCACAGUCUUUAUUGCGAAAGGGACGAUAUGUGUAAACUUCGAUCUGAUUAAAAGUACUCGGUGCUAUAAAUAGCACAUUGAAAAUUUGUUUCCGACGUAAACAGUUGAAAACUCCUUCUACUAGUUCAGAUCCGUUUCUAAGAACAUGUUGAUAAACUACAGUGUACAUUCCCGUUGAAUCGUACUCAAAAGCAUUAAAAGAUUGACAUAUUUUUUUGAAUGAUGGUAAUGAUCCGAAUAGUAUUACAUUGUAAAACGAUUGAUGUACUCUGUUUUUUUGCUGUCCAUUUCUUAUAAUGAUCGGUAAUUGGUAACUAUACAAAUGUAACACUUCUUUUAAGAUAUCGAGUUGCUCAUUUUUUUCAAUGGCAUCUUCGCCAGAAAAGUUGAUCAGAACACUUUUGUGGACGUCUGCAUACAUGUUUAGUAUAUGCGCGAGCGUGAAACUGAUUUGAUGUGAAUGAAUUUUAUCAAAUAAGAAAAACCAGUUCAGAACCACGAAUGCAAGUCGAACCAUCCUGUACUAAGUAUCAGAGAACACUGCUUCCAUUGAAAAGCUAGCAAUGUGGAACUAGGCUUAGUAAUCUAUAUGUCUAUUACAAUCAUAAGCCAGUAUAUAUUUCUUAAUUUUCGUUCUUAAAAGAACAAACAGUAUUAUGUACUAUUAGAAUGUAACAACACUGACUGGAGCGAGAUUGUAAUCAACAUUGGCUGGUGUUGCACCUUCAAAAAUUUAAUGCAAUUAAACUCUGGAUUUUUUUUUAGAAUUGCCUCUUUUGGGGCUCUUUGGCCGUUUAGCGUUUUUUUUAUUACAAGAUACAAGCUCCUGAAUCUCCACAAAUAAAUAAAUUUCGUUACACCCUUAUUUACUAAAAAACUCCUUGGAAAUAGUUAAACUACAACCUUGCCGGAAUGUUUUAAAAACAAAUUGAUCAAUAUCAUUUACUUAUUGAAAGUUCCGCAUUUAGAUAUUCUGCAUAGAUUUUUCUUAGAUAAAUUUAUAUUACCAUUCAGUUUUUUUUUACUUCAGUAUUUUAUAAGUGCAGAAACUAACGUAGAUGGGACUAUCUUUCAAAACCUGACCUGAGGGAGAGUCUACAAUUACCUGGGACAUCAAAUUUAUUAGUUGAAAGAAAAUUUUACAAAAGAAACUGAUGAAUCUGAUAGGUGGCUCCGUCUGAAGAACUCUAUGCCCGCAAAGAUUCACUGAGGUAUGGUGAGGAAUGUUUGCACAUCAAAAAAAUUGGCAACAAGAUAUGGUAAAAAAUCAUUACCUGAUGGGUUGUUCAGAUUAAACAGUUCAUCCACAACAAAUAGUUUCAAACACGCAAUCUCAUAUAGAUCCACGUGCUUUGCAAUCAAAUAUCGUGUGACACGUGCUGUGUAUUCAUGUCAUGUAAAACAAUUUGUAAAUUUCAUGUCAAUCGGACAUGGUGUCAAUCUCAUCAAACCAGUUCAUCAUGAAAUUCGUCUGUGUUCUGUCACAAGUUUUAACCUUAACGCAGGCAAUCCUGAAAGAAGACUAUCUUUAUAAUAGAAAGCUCAAUUUUAACGUACAAACAAUAGUGUCGAUAUUGAAUGAGUAUUACGUAAACAAUCACUUACCAACCCAAAUAAGCUAUUCAGUGUCAGAUGCUAAGUUAGUUUACAAGCAGAAUGAUUUAAUAAACAGUGUGCUCAAAUAUGCAAGCGAGAAUUCAAACAUAUUAUUCCACUUGGCACAUUUCAAGCAACGUACAACAUUUUUCUAUAACCUCAUAUUCAUUGAUGAUCUCUGUGCGUUCCGAAGUGUGCUUUUAUUGCUAAAUAGUGGAAUAUACAACUUUUCCGGCCUCUAUACGGUAGUCAUCACUGGUUUAUUCGAUGAAGCACUAAUACAAGAAAUUUUAGCAAAGUUGUGGUCCAUAAAAAUUACAAAUGCAAUCAUUUUAACAAUAAGCCACUCUGACGUUCAUGAAACAAUCUCAAUGUACACAUAUUUUCCAUUUGAAAAGAACAAUUGCGGCCAGGUGAAUCCAGUUUUAUUAACAAAUUUAAAGUCACACAAUGAUUUUAACAAAAAUGACAUUUUAUUUCCAAAUAAAUGGGAAAAUUUACACAACUGUACUUUAAAAGCUGGCACGUUCGAAAUUAAACCCUUCAUAAUCAUGGAUUAUUCAAACGGAGAUUUUGAACGCAAUAUUGACGGUUUUGAGGCAAAACUCAUAGAAAUAGUUCAACGUAAGCUUAAUUUCCAAAUCCAAUAUCAUUUUCCGGCGAUUGGAACACAAUGGGGUUUUAUUGGAGAAAACAAUAGCACUGGUCUAAUGAAAAUGAUCCAAUCUGGACAAGUCGACUUUGGAAUUGCAAGCAUCGCAUUAACGGCAGAUCGUAGUGAGUUUCUUCAAGCAGGGUCAGCUCAUUACACUUCCAAAAUUGUAUUUGCUAUUCCUGAUGGACGAUUGUACACUCCUCUUGAGAAACUAUUCCGACCGUUUAAAACGUCCAUGUGGUAUGCUGUCGUAUUUUGCUUGACAUCAGUUGCUUGUUCGGUAGCUGCAUUUUACCGACUUGGAUCUCAUCGAUUACUUAACCUUAAUGAAUCCAGAUCUCCUGUCAUGAACAUUUUCAGCGUAUUUUUUGGUGGGCCAAGUUCACAAGUUCCAGAACAAAAUUGUGCCCGUAUGGUGCUCUUUUCAUGGAUAUACUACUGCUUUAUCAUUCGCACUGUCUACCAAAGCUUAUUAUUUCAAUAUUUACAACAAGAACAAAGAUGGCCUGAAGUAGAAACCAUAGAAGAUAUUGAAAGAGAAGGAUUAACAUAUUAUAUGGCGGAUAUAGCACAAAGAUUCUUCAUCAACGCGCCACAUGUUCUCGAAAGAACUCAAAUUUUACCACAUGAAUCCGACUAUUUAAGUAAGGCACUAGAGCGAUUAGCACGAAAUGAAAUCUACGGAGUUGUUUGUGUUAUACUCAAUAAUAUUGCUUAUCACAACAAAUUUAAAGCUCAUAUAGGCGUAAUUCAUGCAAUGACUAACCCCAUCCUGACGUAUUCUAUUGCUAUGCACUAUCCCAAAAAUUCUCCGUUGGCAGAACAUUUUGAUAAGAUAAUCAACAAACUUCAGCCAAGUGGAAUUGCAGACUAUUGGGCAAACAACUAUGGAAAUAAUGCAUUCCUUCAUCAAAUCAAGCAAACUUACAACGUUCCUAAACCUUUAACCAAUGCUCAAUUGAUAGGAUUGUACAAAGUAUCUGCGCUUCUUCUAAGUAUUGCAAUUAUUGUUUUCUUGUGUGAACUAUUCACAUUUUGGAUUUCAUCAAUGCAUUAAAAUUAAAAAAAAAUAAUAAUUCAGGAUAUAGACACCAAAAAACACACAACAAAAACAAAAUCAGAUAUCAUGAAAAAAGAAGCAUUUACACUCAAUGGAAAGCUAUUGAAAUGGUAUAAAAAAUUUCCACAACUUCGUGUGACUAUUGUACAAUUAAUUAUUUUACAGAAAGCAAACAUGAACAUGAUCAACGGGUAACGACUUGACAGUUAUUUUUCCAGAAUUAAAUCGUAUCCUGACAAUGACAAUGCGAUUUUACAUUCGUACCAAUCAGUCAAUCAUGAAAGCUCUAUUAGUGUUGACCAUCUACACUGUCACAGUGAAAUCGAAUCUGAUUUCCAAUAAGUCUCAAAAUGAAUACAUGAAAAUUAUUCAAUUGUAUUCUAGUUCCAUUUUGUAUAUAAUUGAUAAUUAUUAUGAAAGUUCAAUUUAUCCAAUAUAUGUGUUAUACAAUGGUAUGGAGUCAGAUACAAUGUUAUUCCAGCAAGAUAUUUCAAAUGCAAUGUUAGGCAGUGCAAGUAAAAAUUCGAACAAUAUAUUCUAUAUAUCGUGCGAACAACUUGGACUACCAAUUUAUCAUAGUGUCAUGUUCAUUGAAAGCUAUGAUUCCCUUAGAAAAUCUUAUUCCAAUUUCGAUAAUUACCACUCAUCGGGCCGGCACACUAUCAUUUUGAAUAGUAGCAGUACUUCUAAGCAAAUUUCACUGAAAACCCUUUUCAAAAACUUGUGGUCCUCAAACAUUACAAAUGUCGUUGUUCUAUCAAAUAUAGACAAUAAUAGAAGUAUUGAAAUUUACACUUAUUUUCCUUUUCAUGAGGAAAACUGUGAUCGAAUAGAAUCCACCAUUUUAACGAAAUUUUAUCUCGAUAAUCCUCCCGACAAAAAUAUCAUUUUAUUUCCAAAUCGUUUGACAAAUUUUCACAAUUGUUCCGUAAAAGUUGGAACGUUUGACGUAAAGCCUUAUAUAAUCGAAGAACCAGAAAAUAACAAAAUCAAAUUUAGUGGCAUAGAAGCUAGACUAGUUCAAAUUGUAUCGCAGAAAUUAAACUUCAACAUCGUGUACCAAUCUCCAACUAAUAAUGUUCAGUGGGGAUUUAUCCGUCAAGAGAACAGCACUGGCCUUAUGAAAAUGAUUCAAACAAAAGAGGUAGAUCUCGGGGUGGCAUGCAUCGCCUUGUCACCCCCUCGUAGUCAGUACCUUCAAUCAGGAGUGCCUCAUUACAUUUCUAAAAUACUGUUCGCCAUUCCUGACGGUCGUUUGUAUACGCCACUGGAGAAGAUUGUCCGACCGUUGGAAACAGACACGUGGUUCGCGCUGGGAUUUAGUCUGAUUUCGUUCAUAUGUUCAACAAUACUUAUCCAUCGAAGCUCUCAACACCAUUUCAAGAUGAAACCUGUACUAAUCAUCAAUAUUCUGAACAUGUUGUUUGGUGGCUCCAAUCCCAAUCCACCUCGCCAAAACUAUGCAAGAAUACUACUGUUUUGGUGGAUUUAUUUUUCUUUCCUAAUUCGAACGAUUUAUCAAGGACUGUUGUUUAAAUAUCUCCAACAUGACCAAAGAUGGCCCAGAUUAGAAACCAUUUCGGAUGCUGAAAAGGAAGGACUUACAUUUUAUAUGGUAGACGUUGCGGAAAGAUACUUUACUCACAGUCCGGAAGUGCUCAGAAGAACAUCAUUUCUACCACAUGAAACCGACAAUGUGAUCCUUGCAUUGGAGCAGAUGGCACAGCAUGAAAUCAAAGGAGUUGUUCUUGUAUCAUUAAAUCACAUUGCUUACCACAACAAAUUCAAUUCAAAAUUAGGAAUUAUCUACGCUAUGAUCGAUCCAGUUGCCACUUACUCUGUCGCGGUUCACUAUCCAAGAAAUUCACCGUUAGUGGAUAUUUUUGAUAGAAUAUUCCUUCAGCUGCAAGCUACUGGCAUUGUAAACUAUUGGGCCAAUAAGUAUGGAGAUUACGCAUUUUUGGCCAUGAAAUUGGACAACCCUGCUGAACCAACACCGCUGGGAAAUAACCAUCUCGCAGGAUUAUACAUAAUAUUCUCAAUUUCUAUGUUUAUCGCUACAGUGGUGUUUAUUGGUGAAAUUCUGUCUGCACAAUUGAGGGAAUUGUUUUAUCGAAAGUUUUGUUUGUGAAGAUAGAAUAAGAUUUUAUUAUAAAUAGAAUCACAUACUUAAAAAUCAAUUAAAAUUUAAAAAAAUUGAAAAGAACUCCAUGUAUUUUCUCAUUUAAUUUGCAUGACUUGGCAAAGUAAAAAAAAAAAAAAAACAAAAAAAUAUAAAUACACCGUCUUGAAAAAUGCCACCGGGGACGACUGGAAUUGACCCUAGGCCGCUCACCACUAAACCAUACAAAAGUGAGAAACAAGAACACAAAUCAGAUGAAAGAUGUUUAACCAAGGCUGUGGAGUCGGAGUUUGGAGGAGUCAGGUACUUUUAGGACCCUGAAUCGGUGUUGACAAAUUCUAAGAGAUUUUAAGUGUCCGAGUUGGCUUAUCCUCACCAAAUUUGUAUAGGAGUUGUUUUUGGAGUCGGAUCCGGUCGAUUCUAUUUGGAGAGUCGUAGUCGAAGAGCUAGAAUCGGAGUCGCUAAAUCUCCAGAAGACGGAUAUUUUCAGCAUCUGGAAUCGGAGUCAGAGUCACUGAGAAACCUACCUGACGCUUCCGUAGAGCGGUUUAAAUUUAACUUUUAGUACCGUAAUCUGGGGUGAAUCGGGACUACAGUCUGAAUAGGGACAGCAGUUUUUAGAGCACUUAAAGCUUUUAAAUUUGGAAAUGGUUGUACACAUUUUGUUGGCCUGAGUCUGUUCUAACCGAAACCAACCAGAAAAAUCAAAAUAUUGUGCUCCAACAUGGUUAAAACUGCUGUCCCAAUUCGCCCUAUGUGUCCCGAUUGACCCCAGUUUACGGUAGUUUAUUACUACAGGGCUGAGUUGUAUGGGUGUACUGAAAUCAAAUCCCGGAAAUAAGCCAGGAUAAAAACUCAAACAUCUCAAGCCAAGUAGUUUUUCUAUACAUUUUUGCAUGGUUAAAGUCACUACUAGUGCUAAAAACAUGAGCGAGGGUAAGUAGAAAGACAUCAUCAACUUAACAUUCCAACGCCCAAGGCUCC
RNA transcript from Culex pipiens pallens (northern house mosquito), 7120 nucleotides. RefSeq lists it as uncharacterized. NCBI's taxonomy places the organism in Eukaryota, Metazoa, Arthropoda, Insecta, Diptera, Culicidae. The transcript is spliced from 3 exons. The record is from RefSeq and is a predicted model, not a curated record.